UUGACCUCGGAUCAGGUAGGGAUACCCGCUGAACUUAAGCAUAUCAAUAAGCGGAGGAAAAGAAACCAACAGGGAUUGCCUCAGUAACGGCGAGUGAAGCGGCAAGAGCUCAAAUUUGAAAGCUGGCCCCUUCGGGGUCCGCGUUGUAAUUUGCAGAGGAUGCUUCGGGUGCAGCCC
RNAcentral lists this ribosomal RNA (177 nucleotides) under Aspergillus felis. Its description in RNAcentral is "partial 28S ribosomal RNA". It matches the Rfam family "Eukaryotic large subunit ribosomal RNA", at positions 1 to 176 of the family's 3401-position model. The record is from RNAcentral. Lineage: Eukaryota; Fungi; Ascomycota; Eurotiomycetes; Eurotiales; Aspergillaceae.